Molecule: RNA transcript, 3000 nt
Organism: Cannabis sativa
Lineage: Eukaryota; Viridiplantae; Streptophyta; Magnoliopsida; Rosales; Cannabaceae
Gene name: pentatricopeptide repeat-containing protein At1g77360, mitochondrial-like
Exons: 5
Source: RefSeq, a predicted model, not a curated record
CACCAAAUAUCUCAAGGUACACCUUGUGGUUGCAGAGAAGAACGAAGCGUUUAACAGUGGUGGACGUACGGCGUUAUUUCCGAUUAAUAGGUGAUAAAAAUAGUUUUGAACUUUACUUGACUCGCCGUCGCCGCCCUCCCAACCGACUCAGUCGACUCGAUCUGUGUAACAUUUGGCUAACGCAACGCUCUCUCUCUCUCUCUCUCUCUCUCUCUCUCUCUCUACCUACCAUAGAUGAACUCACCAAGCCCCACUGAUCCGAGAAAAAAAAAAGCCUCAAUUCUCAAAAUUUCAUCAAAAAGAAAUGAUCUUUAACAAAGUUGAAAAACUUUGCACCAAGCCAAACUUAUGGAAAAGUUUCAAUUUUUCCACAAAACCCAAGAGGGAAAUCCCAGAUCCAACUGAAAGAAUCUGCAAAGCCAUGAUGUCAAAUCCAGUUGCAUCAAUCCAAACAGCACUAGACCAAACUGGAGUUAAGGUUUCAACAGAGAUGGUAGAACAAGUCCUUGUCAGAUUCCAGAAUGCUGGAAUGCUCACCUACAGAUUCUUUGAGUGGGCUGCCAAGCAGAGAGGCUAUGCAUCCCACAGUGUCAGAGCUUACCAUUCAAUGAUUGGGUCACUUGCUAAAAUACGGCAGUAUCAGUUGAUGUGGGAAUUGGUGAGUAGUAUGAGAUCAAAGGAAUUGAUAAAUGUUGAAACUUUUUGUAUUAUUAUGAGAAAAUAUACAAGAGCUCAGAAAAUUGAUGAAGCUCUUUAUACUUUUAAUGUUAUGGAAAGGUAUGGUGUUGAACCAAAUUUGAUUGCUUUUAAUGGGCUUCUUAGUGCUUUGUGUAAAUCUAAGAAUGUUAGGAAAGCUCAAGAGGUUUUUGAUUCUAUGAAGGGUAGGUUUGAGCCAGAUUCUAAAAGUUAUAGUAUUUUGAUUGAUGGGUGGGGGAAAGAACCUAAUUUGCCUAAAGCUAGAGAAAUUUUUAGAGAUAUGAUUGAAUUUGGUAUUAGUGUUGAUAUUGUUACUUAUGGUAUUAUGGUUGAUGUUCUUUGUAAAGCUGGGAGAGUUGAUGAAGCUAUUGGGAUUGUUAGGACAAUGGAUUGUAAUGGUUGUAAACCAACUUCUUUUAUUUAUAGUGUUUUGGUUCAUACUUAUGGGGUUGAGAAUAGGAUUGAAGAUGCUGUUGAUGCUUUUAUGGAGAUGGAAAGUAGGGGUGUUGAAGCUGAUGUUGUUGUUUAUAAUGCUUUGAUUGGUGCUUUUAUUAAGGUUGAUCGGUUUAAGAAUGCUUAUAGGGUGUUGAAUGAUAUGGAUUCGAAAGGGGUUAUGCCUAAUUCGAGGACUUGUAAUGUGAUGUUAAAUGGUUUGAUCGGUAGAGGGAAGACUGAAGAGGCGUUUAAGGUGUUUAGGAGGAUGAUUAAAGUGUGUGAGGCGGAUUCAGACACGUAUACGAUGAUGAUAAAGAUGUUUUGUGAGAAGGAUGAGAUUGAGAUGGCUUUGAAAGUGUGGAAAUACAUGAAGUUGAAGAGGUUUGUUCCGAGUAUGCAUACUUUUUCGGUUUUGAUUAAUGGGUUGUGUGAGAAGGGUGAUGCUACUCAAGCUUGUGUUUUAAUGGAGGAGAUGAUAGAGAAGGGAAUUAGACCUUCUGGUGUGACUAUAGGGAGGUUGAGACAGUUGUUGGUUAAGGAAGGAAGAGAUGAUGUUCUCAAAUUUCUUCAGCAAAAGAUGAAUCUUAUGGUUAAAGAGCCUCUCUGUGAUUGAGGGAAUGAGAGGUCCUCGAAAUCUCGAGGUAUGGAAGAUGGGCAUUGUCAACUAUUUGGAAGCUCAUAAACUGCAGGACAAACUGUGUGCAGGUUUUCAAAAUAACAGUCAAGAAAUUUGACUUUGGUUGGAAAUUAUCAGAAGAAGAAAGAUUUGCCAAAGGAAAACAGGGAAGUUUCCUAUGAAGAUGAUGAUGUGGAUUUCAUUUCCACAGCCAACUUUAGCUGUACUUGUCAAACUCAUUAUGCUUUUGGACAAGUCAGAGAAUAUUAUACUUAACUUUUGCAUCACAUGAUCAGCAGCUACUACUACUACUACUAAGUUCUAAAGAAUAAGCAGAACAAACAAGGAACAGGUAAAAUAUCUAAUCAUGAAUACUUUAGUAUUUCCAACUCUUAAUAAUUAUGCUUCUACUAUGAAUAGUCAGAAACAUAGGAUUUUUCUGUCAUUUUGUCACCAGCCUGUAGAAAAGUUUUCAUCUGUCAUAGUAAAACACUAAGUAACUUUUUCAGCAAGAAACUGUUUGACUAAACUAGUUGUUGGUUCCAAAUCUUGUCAGCAAGAAAAAUUAGUUAUAUAUUGAGCUAAUAUCUAUAUAUUAAGCUUACCCUUUAGCUUAAAAAUUUCACAUAACAUGUAAUGUAUACUCUCACUUUUUUUAGAUAAUAGAACACUUCAUUACUAUCUGCUUUUUCUUCUUAUUGCCCGAUCUCAGCCAUGAAAACGAUUCACAUACAUCUGGUUUUGUUCUUUGUCUUGAUUCUCAUGCAAACUCUAGUGACUUCUUUUUCUUCAUUGUCACUUCUCGAAGAGAGACGAAUUCACACAAGAGAUAGAAACCAACACAGAAGAUUGCUGCUCGUUUUAUCAGCUUCAAAUCCGAAAGAGUUGAAUAAAAGGACAUUGGAGGAUCCUCUGAGAUCUGUUGAGACAAGUUUAAAAGCAGCACCUUCUAGUGAAUCCAAUCCAAUUCAUAACAAGUAACUAGGAUCGAUACAUGAUUAGAGAUCUCGAAAGGAUAGAGAGACUGGUAUCUCUUUCUCUUACCCGAAAUUUUGCAGUUUCUGUACUUCGUUUUUCUGUUGAUAUAGGUAGGAGAAUCAGAUCUCUAUACAUUUUUUUUCAUUUUUAAUUUGUUUAUUUAAAUAGUUUGGUUUAUAUUUCUGUAGUUCUUUAAUUUUAGUAUUAGAUUCACAAAAGCAUGAGAAAACUGUAACUGAAAUCAAAGAUUACAAUGUUAUCAUUUUGUUAGUGCU